This 497-nucleotide ribosomal RNA is filed under the name Salmonella enterica. Its description in RNAcentral is "partial 23S ribosomal RNA". It matches the Rfam family "Bacterial large subunit ribosomal RNA", at positions 670 to 1164 of the family's 2925-position model. The record is from RNAcentral. Lineage: Bacteria; Pseudomonadati; Pseudomonadota; Gammaproteobacteria; Enterobacterales; Enterobacteriaceae.
AGGGAAACCGAGUCUUAAUUGGGCGUUAAGUUGCAGGGUAUAGACCCGAAACCCGGUGAUCUAGCCAUGGGCAGGUUGAAGGUUGGGUAACACUAACUGGAGGACCGAACCGACUAAUGUUGAAAAAUUAGCGGAUGACCUGUGGCUGGGGGUGAAAGGCCAAUCAAACCGGGAGAUAGCUGGUUCUCCCCGAAAGCUAUUUAGGUAGCGCCUCGUGAAUUCAUCUCCGGGGGUAGAGCACUGUUUCGGCUAGGGGGCCAUCCCGGCUUACCAACCCGAUGCAAACUGCGAAUACCGGAGAAUGUUAUCACGGGAGACACACGGCGGGUGCUAACGUCCGUCGUGAAGAGGGAAACAACCCAGACCGCCAGCUAAGGUCCCAAAGUCAUGGUUAAGUGGGAAACGAUGUGGGAAGGCCCAGACAGCCAGGAUGUUGGCUUAGAAGCAGCCAUCAUUUAAAGAAAGCGUAAUAGCUCACUGGUCGAGUCGGCCUGCGC